Molecule: long non-coding RNA, 245 nt
Filed under: Salvia miltiorrhiza (redroot sage)
Lineage: Eukaryota; Viridiplantae; Streptophyta; Magnoliopsida; Lamiales; Lamiaceae
Description: long non-coding RNA (SMIL_LNC003266)
Source: RNAcentral
GGCUUUCUUGCAGCGAGAGCGACCUUUCGAUUACGGGUGGAGUUAUCCAUGAUAUUAAGGCCCUCACUAAAGAGUUUGAUAAGGUGAAAUUCAGUUGGACUAGAAGAUGUGAAAACUCUGUAGCUGACCAACUCGCAAAAUUUGCUUUACACCACUGUUCUUCUUGUGAUUUGAUCUCUACCCUCCCUUCCUUUGUACGCUCUUCUCCUUCAGGAGCUGUUUCUAUCUAAUGAAUCUUCGUUUGG